RNAcentral lists this ribosomal RNA (523 nucleotides) under Pseudomonas aeruginosa. RNAcentral's name for it is "bacterial SSU rRNA". It matches the Rfam family "Bacterial small subunit ribosomal RNA", at positions 37 to 537 of the family's 1533-position model. The record is from RNAcentral. Lineage: Bacteria; Pseudomonadati; Pseudomonadota; Gammaproteobacteria; Pseudomonadales; Pseudomonadaceae.
GGAUUGCGGCAGCUACACAUGCAGUCGAGCGGAUCAUUGGAGCUUGCUCCUGGAUUCACCGGCGGAGGGUGAGUAAUGCCUAGUGAAUCUGCCUGAUAGUGGGGGAUAACGUCCGGAAACUGGCGCUUGUACCGCAGACCUCCUGAGGGAGAACGUGCGGGAUCUUCGGACCUCAAUCUAUCAGAUGAUCCUAGGUGUGAUUAACUGAUUGGCGGGGUAAAGGCCUACCAAGGCGACAAUCCGUAACUGGUCUGAGAGGAUGAUCAGUCACACUGGAACUGAGACACGGUCCAGACUCCUACGGGAGGCAGCAGUGGGGAAUAUUGGACAAUGGGCGAAAGCCUGAUCCAGCCAUGCCGCGUGUGUGAAGAAGGUCUUCGGAUUGUAAAGCACUUUAAGUUGGGAGGAAGGGCAGUAAGUUAAUACCUUGCUGUUUUGACGUUACCAACAGAAUAAGCACCGGCUAACUUCGUGCCAGCACCCCCGGGGUUAAUAACGUGCCAGCACCGCGGGCAAUAUACAG